UACGUAGGAGGCAAGCGUUGUCCGGAGUUACUGGGCGUAAAGGGCCCGCAGGCGGUGGAGUAAGUUUGGAGUGACAGUUCCCAGCUUAACCGGGAAAGGACUUCGAAAACUGCUCGACUUGAGGACUGGAGAGGAAGGCGGAAUUCCGGGUGGAGCGGUGAAAUGCGUAGAGAUCCGGAGGAACACCGACGGCGAAGGCAGCCUUCUGGAAAGUACCUGACGCUGAGGGGCGAAGCUAGGGGAGCGAACGGG
RNAcentral lists this ribosomal RNA (252 nucleotides) under uncultured bacterium. RNAcentral describes it as "partial 16S ribosomal RNA". It matches the Rfam family "Bacterial small subunit ribosomal RNA", at positions 524 to 776 of the family's 1533-position model. The record is from RNAcentral.